This 484-nucleotide ribosomal RNA is filed under the name uncultured bacterium. Its description in RNAcentral is "partial 16S ribosomal RNA". It matches the Rfam family "Bacterial small subunit ribosomal RNA", at positions 28 to 507 of the family's 1533-position model. The record is from RNAcentral.
AUUGAACGCUGGCGGCAUGCUUUACACAUGCGAGUCGAGCGGCAGCGCGGGCUUCGGCCUGGCGGCGAGUGGCGAACGGGUGAGUAAUGCAUCGGAACGUGCCCAGUAGUGGGGGAUAGCCCGGCGAAAGCCGGAUUAAUACCGCAUACGACCUGAGGGUGAAAGCGGGGGACCGAAAGGCCUCGCGCUAUUGGAGCGGCCGAUGUCGGAUUAGCUAGUUGGUGGGGUAAAGGCUUACCAAGGCGACGAUCCGUAGCUGGUCUGAGAGGACGACCAGCCACACUGGGACUGAGACACGGCCCAGACUCCUACGGGAGGCAGCAGUGGGGAAUUUUGGACAAUGGGGGCAACCCUGAUCCAGCCAUGCCGCGUGCGGGAAGAAGGCCUUCGGGUUGUAAACCGCUUUUGUUCGGGAAGAAAUCCUCUGGGCUAAUACCCCGGGGGGAUGACGGUACCGGAAGAAUAAGCACCGGCUAACUACGUG